Labrus mixtus (cuckoo wrasse) is the source of this 256-nucleotide long non-coding RNA. RefSeq lists it as uncharacterized. The record is from RefSeq and is a predicted model, not a curated record. Lineage: Eukaryota; Metazoa; Chordata; Actinopteri; Labriformes; Labridae. The transcript is spliced from 3 exons.
CAAGUCUGCACACAGCAGGCAGCAACAGAAAUUUUUCACUCCUUCUUCAAUCUGGUGAAUAAAUCAAAAGAGGAGUUUGUCUGACUGUCAACCUACGUGCACCAAACACGUGGAGGACUGUACACAUACCUGUGGAGGAUGUAGAGGACCAUCUCUUUACUUCCUGCACUGGCAGCGUGAUGACGUCACCUGCAGCCGGACGAGUCGAGUGACGUGAGGUCGGCUCCCUUCAGGUGCGGCUCCCUCCAGGUGGUGC